This 427-nucleotide ribosomal RNA is filed under the name uncultured bacterium. Its description in RNAcentral is "bacterial SSU rRNA". It matches the Rfam family "Bacterial small subunit ribosomal RNA", at positions 354 to 796 of the family's 1533-position model. The record is from RNAcentral.
GUGGGGGAUAUUGCGCAAUGGGGGGAACCCUGACGCAGCGACGCCGCGUGGGUGAAGAAGGCCUUCGGGUCGUAAAGCCCUGUCCCUGGGGACGAAGGGAUGACGGUACCCGGGGAGGAAGCCCCGGCUAACUACGUGCCAGCAGCCGCGGUAAUACGUAGGGGGCGAGCGUUGUCCGGAGUUACUGGGCGUAAAGGGUGCGUAGGCGGCCUAUUAAGUCAGGUGUGAAAACCCCUGGCUCAACUAGGGGGUUGCACUUGAAACUGAUGGGCUUGAGUGCAGGAGAGGGAAGUGGAAUUCCUGGUGUAGCGGUGAAAUGCGUAGAUAUCAGGAGGAACACCAGUGGCGAAGGCGGCUUUCUGGCCUGUAACUGACGCUGAGGCACGAAAGCGUGGGGAGCAAACAGGAUUAGAAACCCUAGUAGUCC